GAAUCGCUAGUAAUCGUGGAUCAGAAUGGCACGGUGAAUACGUUCCCGGGCCUUGUACACACCGCCCGUCACACCAUGGGAGUGGACUGCACCAGAAGUGGUUAGCCUAACUUCGGAGGGCGAUCACCACGGUGUGGUUCAUGACUGGGGUGAAGUCGUAACAAGGUAGCCGUAGGGGAACCUGCGGCUGGAUCCCCUCCUU
RNAcentral lists this ribosomal RNA (202 nucleotides) under Halomonas sp. SA-Hm2. RNAcentral describes it as "partial 16S ribosomal RNA". It matches the Rfam family "Bacterial small subunit ribosomal RNA", at positions 1329 to 1532 of the family's 1533-position model. Lineage: Bacteria; Pseudomonadati; Pseudomonadota; Gammaproteobacteria; Oceanospirillales; Halomonadaceae. The record is from RNAcentral.